AUGUUUCUUGAGCACAUAGCAAUCCGACAGCAGUGGGAAGUCGGCAUGGAAACCAGCUGGAUGGCAGAGGGUUCCCUUCUCCGAGUUCCUCUGGCAAACUUAGUCUCAGUAGAGGAUCUGCUAUCAGUCUUUACACACUCAAGUAAAUGCAAGACCCAAUGUGGAUCCCCUUUCUCAAGAUACCGCCAAGGGAAGGGGACCAGAUGGAAACGGUAUUCUCUGCCCUCUCCCAGAGGUAAGCAGUCUUAUACUGGAGUCCAUAAACUACUUUAAAAACAAUUUUUAGCUGGAAAAAUCUACAUGAAUUGAUGCGGAGUGAAAUAAGCAGAACCAGAAGAACAGUGUACAGGAACAGCGAAAUUGAGGGAUGACCAACUGUGAAAGACUUGGUUCCUCUCAGCAAUCCGAUGAUCCAGGACAAUUCUGAAGGAUUUAGGACAAAGAAUGCUGUCCAUCUCUAGAGGAAAAACUAUUGGAGUCAAAUGCAGAUUAAAGCAUACUAUCUUCCACAUUUGUAUACUUAUAGUUUUAUUUGGGGGGUUGAUUUUAUACGAGAAUUAUCUUACAACAAUGUCCAAUAUGGACAUAAAUUUUGCAUGAUAAUACAUGUAUAACCCAGAUCAAAUGGCUUACCCUCUCCAAGAGGAUAGAGGGAUGGAAACUAUUUGGAUCUUAUACUUUUAGAAAAUCUAUGUUGAAAAUUGUUAUUACAUGUAAUUGGGAAAAUAAAAUAUCUUUGAAU
This 742-nucleotide long non-coding RNA is filed under the name Monodelphis domestica (gray short-tailed opossum). RNAcentral describes it as "lncRNA (ENSMODG00000046503.1)". The record is from RNAcentral. Lineage: Eukaryota; Metazoa; Chordata; Mammalia; Didelphimorphia; Didelphidae.